Molecule: transfer RNA, 77 nt
Filed under: Loktanella sp.
Lineage: Bacteria; Pseudomonadati; Pseudomonadota; Alphaproteobacteria; Rhodobacterales; Roseobacteraceae
Also listed under: 1 other name
Description: tRNA-Arg
Rfam family: tRNA
About the family: Transfer RNA (tRNA) molecules are approximately 80 nucleotides in length. Their secondary structure includes four short double-helical elements and three loops (D, anti-codon, and T loops). Further hydrogen bonds mediate the characteristic L-shaped molecular structure. tRNAs have two regions of fundamental functional importance: the anti-codon, which is responsible for specific mRNA codon recognition, and the 3' end, to which the tRNAs corresponding amino acid is attached (by aminoacyl-tRNA synthetases). tRNAs cope with the degeneracy of the genetic code in two manners: having more than one tRNA (with a specific anti-codon) for a particular amino acid; and 'wobble' base-pairing, i.e. permitting non-standard base-pairing at the 3rd anti-codon position.
Source: RNAcentral
GCACCCAUAGCUCAGCUGGAUAGAGCGCUGCCCUCCGAAGGCAGAGGUCACUGGUUCGAAUCCAGUUGGGUGCACCA